RNAcentral lists this ribosomal RNA (490 nucleotides) under uncultured bacterium. RNAcentral's name for it is "partial 16S ribosomal RNA". It matches the Rfam family "Bacterial small subunit ribosomal RNA", at positions 30 to 507 of the family's 1533-position model. The record is from RNAcentral.
AUUGAACGCUGGCGGCAGGCCUAACACAUGCAAGUCGAACGGUAAUAGGAAGAAGCUUGCUUCUUUGCUGACGAGUGGCGGACGGGUGAGUAAUGUCUGGGAAACUGCCUGAUGGAGGGGGAUAACUACUGGAAACGGUAGCUAAUACCGCAUAAUGUCGCAAGACCAAAGAGGGGGACCUUCGGGCCUCUUGCCAUCGGAUGUGCCCAGAUGGGAUUAGCUAGUAGGUGGGGUAACGGCUCACCUAGGCGACGAUCCCUAGCUGGUCUGAGAGGAUGACCAGCCACACUGGAACUGAGACACGGUCCAGACUCCUACGGGAGGCAGCAGUGGGGAAUAUUGCACAAUGGGCGCAAGCCUGAUGCAGCUAUGCCGCGUGUAUGAAGAAGGCCUUCGGGUUGUAAAGUACUUUCAGCGGGGAGGAAGGGAGUAAAGUUAAUACCUUUGCUCAUUGACGUUACCCGCAGAAGAAGCACCGGCUAACUCCGUG